This 576-nucleotide long non-coding RNA is filed under the name Vulpes vulpes (red fox). RNAcentral describes it as "lncRNA (ENSVVUG00000002987.1)". Lineage: Eukaryota; Metazoa; Chordata; Mammalia; Carnivora; Canidae. The record is from RNAcentral.
UUUGUUACAUCAUGGAACUGAGGAGUUGAGAGUUAUGAGAGCAGCAUCCCACAGAGGGGACAAAUGCAAGGCCAUUAUAGGAAAGGGUAAUAUAAGAUCUACUCACAAAUAAAGAUGAGCAUUUUGGAAAGGAUUUGGGCAUUUUAAAAAGUGAACAAUGCAUCUGGGGUUUGGUGCUGAUCUAAUUAAACUUGUGAGCCUGCAAAGGAUUCAUCCCCACCCAGUGAGAAGCAGCCAGGUUGCAGUUGCUGUGGGAACAGCGCCACCAACCAGGCCUGGUGCUGCCCAUACUCCCCCUGGACCAUCCCUGCCCUCACAUAAACCAGUCAAUGAUGCUGAGGAACAUUCAGUAGCCAUCAAACAAGAAACACUCCGAGGAAACCAAUGAGUAGCACUUUCCCAUCUUUGCCUCAGGAACUCUGCCUCCUGGUAGGAAGGGUCCAGCAGAGUGGUGACCUGGUGAUAUAUAUAUAUAUAUAUAGGCUGUGCUGUCCAUCAUGCAGGCACUGGCCUGUUGAGGAGUUAAGUGUUUUCAAUGAUAAUAAAUAUCAUGAAUAGUUUAAGACCUUAUUGUCU